GUACACUCCUACGGGAGGCAGCAGUGGGGAAUAUUGGACAAUGGGCGCAAGCCUGAUCCAGCCAUGCCGCGUGAGUGAUGAAGGCCCUAGGGUUGUAAAGCUCUUUCACCGGUGAAGAUAAUGACGGUAACCGGAGAAGAAGCCCCGGCUAACUUCGUGCCAGCAGCCGCGGUAAUACGAAGGGGGCUAGCGUUGUUCGGAUUUACUGGGCGUAAAGCGCACGUAGGCGGACUAUUAAGUCAGGGGUGAAAUCCCGGGGCUCAACCCCGGAACUGCCUUUGAUACUGGUAGUCUUGAGUUCGAGAGAGGUGAGUGGAAUUCCGAGUGUAGAGGUGAAAUUCGUAGAUAUUCGGAGGAACACCAGUGGCGAAGGCGGCUCACUGGCUCGAUACUGACGCUGAGGUGCGAAAGCGUGGGGAGCAAACAGGAUUAGAAACCCUUGUAGUCCCA
RNAcentral lists this ribosomal RNA (450 nucleotides) under uncultured organism. RNAcentral describes it as "partial 16S ribosomal RNA". It matches the Rfam family "Bacterial small subunit ribosomal RNA", at positions 331 to 797 of the family's 1533-position model. The record is from RNAcentral.